GAUAUAAUGUACACAUCAUCGAUAGCUCAAGGGCGGUGACUGACGAUGCUAUGAUUAAACAAGUGUUUUUACGUCUUGAUAGGAAUCUCUUCAUUUUUUUUUUCUCCCAAUAGAUUUACAGAGCUGUUAUGUGUGAUUACAUUU
This is a small nucleolar RNA of Benincasa hispida (wax gourd), 144 nucleotides long. RefSeq annotates it as small nucleolar RNA snoR2/U65. NCBI's taxonomy places the organism in Eukaryota, Viridiplantae, Streptophyta, Magnoliopsida, Cucurbitales, Cucurbitaceae. The record is from RefSeq and is a predicted model, not a curated record.